UACGGAGGGGGCUAGCGUUAUUCGGAAUUACUGGGCGUAAAGCGCACGUAGGCGGACUGGAAAGUUGGGGGUGAAAUCCCGGGGGCUCAACCUCGGAACUGCCUUCAAAACUCCCAGUCUUGAGGUCGAGAGAGGUGAGUGGAAUUCCGAGUGUAGAGGUGAAAUUCGUAGAUAUUCGGAGGAACACCAGUGGCGAAGGCGGCUCACUGGCUCGAUACUGACGCUGAGGUGCGAAAGCGUGGGGGAGCAAACAGG
RNAcentral lists this ribosomal RNA (255 nucleotides) under uncultured bacterium. Its description in RNAcentral is "partial 16S ribosomal RNA". It matches the Rfam family "Bacterial small subunit ribosomal RNA", at positions 524 to 776 of the family's 1533-position model. The record is from RNAcentral.